This is a long non-coding RNA of Acipenser ruthenus (sterlet), 1714 nucleotides long. RefSeq lists it as uncharacterized. Lineage: Eukaryota; Metazoa; Chordata; Actinopteri; Acipenseriformes; Acipenseridae. The record is from RefSeq and is a predicted model, not a curated record. The transcript has 3 exons.
UUGAACAAUACUCUCUCAUAGCUUACAUUUGCGUUGAUGUAUUAGUUACCAAAGAUUAACCAUUUCUUGGAUCUAUGCGUGGCAUGCUCAUGGUAUUACCUUCUGAACUUUAUAUUACAGCUUCGCAGAAUUCCAGAAUGGAACUUCACAAAAUCAGACUUUUUGUUGCAUGGAUGUUGUUAAGCUUGAUGGCUGGAAAAGCUAGCAGUAAGUGUGAGGGGGAAGUUAUUGUUAAGACACAAGUCAAUGGAACUCUUGAUUCCAAGAGCCUCAUGCCAUGCCAGUUUGACAGCAGCCUCCUCAGUCAGGCCACACAGGGGAAUACAGCUGUUGUGUGGACUUUAAAAAAAAACAACAUAACAACAUCACAGUACCUAGUCGAAAUUGGAUUUUCAAAACCACCCACCUUCUGGAAUGCACGACAGGGCAGAAUCAUCCCCUUUGCAGGUCUGUCAAAGAGGGAAACUUUUCCAUACUUCUCAACAGAACACGGUUAGAAGAUCAAGGGAUAUACUUGUGUGAGCUGUAUGAUGGUGUUAACUGCAGUUUGGGAGUGCAGGAGAUUCAAUUCACAAUAACAGGUCUUCCUUUAGAAGCUGCUGAUGCGUCCCCUGGUAUGAUGUGGUCUGUCUUUACAAUGAUAAACUGUAUCCUGCUCUAUGCUUUCUGCUGUUCAUUCUAAGAAUGUGUUUUAUAUUACAUUUCAAGGAAUUCAGUGUUUUUAUUGAUUCAUCUUUGUCAAGUUUGUAUAGGAGGCAAACAAGAUGGGCAUGUUGACAUAAAUACAUUAUUGCUUGUAAUUGAUGUUCAAUUUUUAUCAAAGAAAAAAUGUAACUACCUUUUUACUUUCGCUAACAUGUCUCAUCCUUUGUUUUUCUAACAUACUUAUAUGAAUAAUAAAAUAAGAUCAAACUAUCUGCUAAAGUAAGAAAAUAAGUUUUCUAAUGUAAUAGCUUUCAACUUUUGCAAGAGCAACUCAUUUUUUUUUAAAUGUUCUUAUGUAUAAUCUUAGUGAACCAUCAUUGUAGAUGUCAGUUGCUGUUUACCAAACCACAACAGAAUAACCACAUAUGUGAUGUUGCCAGAAGCAUGCCUUUUAAAUAAACCGUUUGGAUUAUGCUUUUAGAAAUACAAAAUGAAACAAAAUAAAUUCAACAGCAAAAAUGUUGACCAGUCUUCAAGACAUAACACCAACUCUAGUAAAAAUGUUUGUCCUUGAAUGUAUUUAGAUUCUUUUGGUAUUUCCAAGUGUAACCUUAUUGAGUGUCAUUCUUGUUAUGGAUGAUGGUGAUGUAUUAUUUUGUUACUAGCUCAGCAUUUUUGAUGAAAUAUUGCAGUAAAAGGGAUAUUGGUCUUACUUUCUCUUGCUCUUUUGGGGGGAGUAGUGUAAUAUAUGCUGAAUUAUAGACUCAAAAUGUACUAGUUCUUAGUAGAACUGAGAAAAUGUUGUAACAUUAAAUAGAGAAAGCCUCUUCUCCAUGGGGACUUACCAUGUCAUUUUAAUUAGAUUUGUUGUGCAGUUUAGCAAUAUUUAAUCAUUUGCUGGACUAUUGGCCUUUUUGAUUAUUAAUUCUGUUUUUAUUAUAAUUAUUUUGGGGACACCAAGUGGGCUUGUCUGACUCUCCCAUGUGUUUAUAAGUGUAUUUUUUUUUUUUGUAUCUUUAGAUGGUUCAUUUAACUUUAACUUUAACUUUUAAGAAAACCUUUAUUAGAA